Mauremys mutica (yellowpond turtle) is the source of this 751-nucleotide long non-coding RNA. RefSeq lists it as uncharacterized. The transcript has 5 exons. The record is from RefSeq and is a predicted model, not a curated record. Lineage: Eukaryota; Metazoa; Chordata; Testudines; Geoemydidae.
GGGGUGCUGUGGCAUCUGACAGCAGGGCGGGGUGGAACGAGCGCGACCCCUACCUCGCGGCAGCGGCCCCCACGCGAGCUCUCAGGGGCGCCGCCGCCUCCUUGCAGCACCAGCCGCCGGCUCUGGAGGCCACGCCCACCGCGCGCCUGACCAAUCCCCGGCCCGCGCCGCUGCUCUAGCCGCAGCCCGCCCCUGCCAAUGAGCGAGUUGCUGCCGUCUCCCCGCCCACCCUCCUGUUUGUUAUGGUCCGGGCCACGUGCCGCCGGCUCAGCUUGUCACGCGGCAGGGCCUCGCGCCGCCCCCACCGCCGUCCUACCUCGUCUGUCCGGAAGGAAGGAGACACAGAAAGAAAACGGAGAUUGAGACACACUGAAACAGCAUAAUCAAAAAAUUGAAACAUGAGACUGUGAGCUAAGACAACUGGAAGCAGCGGGCAUUGUGAAAAAGGAGGAUUUUCCUGAAUGUAUCUUUAAUUAUUCAGAAGACAUAUGUGAUCAUGUGAAUGUGGCUAGCAGAAGAGAGGUGGCUCUAGUGCAUGUUGCAUUCUGGAUUUGUUUUGUGCCUGCGAGGAGUUGAAUUCCUGAGCACUGAAGAAGAUCUAACCAUAUUUGCACCGGCUCUGCUCAUGACAGUACAGUGGGGCAGGUAAGUGCCAAGAAGGAACUGGGAGGCUCUAACUUUUCCAAGGCUCAGGAUUAUGCAAUGAAGAAGAAUAUUUUAGAAGCUAAAGAGAGAGGUCAGAACACCCUGG